This 231-nucleotide ribosomal RNA is filed under the name uncultured bacterium. RNAcentral describes it as "partial 16S ribosomal RNA". It matches the Rfam family "Bacterial small subunit ribosomal RNA", at positions 104 to 334 of the family's 1533-position model. The record is from RNAcentral.
CGGGGUGGAGUAAUGUCUGGGAAACUGCCUGAUGAGGGGGGAUAACUACUGGAAACGGUAGCUAAUACCGCAUAACGUCGCAAGACCAAAGUGGGGGACCGUUCGGGCCUCAUGCCAUAAGAUGUGCCCAGAUGGGAUUAGCUAGUAGGUGGGGUAACGGCUCACCUAGGCGACGAUCCCUAGCUGGUCUGAGAGGAUGACCAGCCACACUGGAACUGAGACACGGUCCAG